Molecule: ribosomal RNA, 433 nt
Filed under: uncultured bacterium
Lineage: Bacteria
Description: partial 16S ribosomal RNA
Rfam family: Bacterial small subunit ribosomal RNA
Source: RNAcentral
AACGAACGCUGGCGGCAUGCCUAACACAUGCAAGUCGAACGAGACCUUCGGGUCUAGUGGCGCACGGGUGCGUAACGUGUGGGAACCUGCCCUUAGGCUCGGAAUAACUCCCCGACAGGGGUGCUAAUACCGGAUAAUGUCCUCGGACCAAAGAUUGAUCGCCUUUGGGUGGGCCCGCGUUGGAUUAGCUAGUUGGUAGGGUAAAAGCCUACCAAGGCGACGAUCCAUAGCUGGUCUGAGAGGAUGAUCAGCCACACUGGGACUGAGACACGGCCCAGACUCCUACGGGAGGCAGCAGUGGGGAAUAUUGGACAAUGGGCGAAAGCCUGAUCCAGCAAUGCCGCGUGAGUGAUGAAGUCCUGAGGGUUGUAAAGCUCUUUUACCCGGCAUGAUUAUGACAGUACCCGGAGAAUAAGCUCCGGCUAACUCCGUG